CGAACGNUANNAGGGAGCUUGCUCCGCUGACGAGUGGCGAACGGGUGAGUAAUAUAUCGGAACGUACCCAAGAGUGGGGGAUAACGUAGCGAAAGUUACGCUAAUACCGCAUACGAUCUAUGGAUGAAAGCAGGGGACCUUCGGGCCUUGUGCUCCUGGAGCNNGCCGAUAUCUGAUUAGCUAGUUGGUGAGGUAAAGGCUCACCAAGGCGACGAUCAGUAGCUGGUCUGAGAGGACGACCAGCCACACUGGAACUGAGACACGGUCCAGACUCCUACGGGAGGCAGCAGUGGGGAAUUUUGGACAAUGGGCGCAAGCCUGAUCCAGCAAUGCCGCGUGAGUGAAGAAGGCNUUCGGGUUGUAAAGCUCUUUUGUCAGGGAAGAAACGGCUGUGGCUAAUAUCCACGGCUAAUGACGGUACCUGAAGAAUAAGCACCGGCUAACUACGUGCCAGCAGCCGCGGUAAUACGUAGGGUGCAACCGUUAAUCGGAAUUACUGGGCGUAAAGCGUGCGCAGGCGGUUUUGUAAGUCUGUCGUGAAAUCCCCGGGCUCAACCUGGGAAUUGCGAUGGAGACUGCAAGGCUAGAAUCUGGCAGAGGGGGGUAGAAUUCCACGUGUAGCAGUGAAAUGCGUAGAGAUGUGGAGGAACACCGAUGGCGAAGGCAGCCCCCUGGGUCAAGAUUGACGCUCAUGCACGAAAGCGUGGGGAGCAAACAGGAUUAGAUACCCUGGUAGUCCACGCCCUAAACGAUGUCUACUAGUUGUCGGGUUUUAAUUAACUUGGUAACGCAGCUAACGCGUGAAGUAGACCGCCUGGGGAGUACGGUCGCAAGAUUAAAACUCAAAGGAAUUGACGGGGACCCGCACAAGCGGUGGNNGAUGUGGAUUAAUUCGAUGCAACGCGAAAAACCUUACCUACCCUUGACAUGUCAGGAAGGCCGGAGAGA
This 948-nucleotide ribosomal RNA is filed under the name Massilia aurea. RNAcentral describes it as "bacterial SSU rRNA". It matches the Rfam family "Bacterial small subunit ribosomal RNA", at positions 63 to 1006 of the family's 1533-position model. Lineage: Bacteria; Pseudomonadati; Pseudomonadota; Betaproteobacteria; Burkholderiales; Oxalobacteraceae. The record is from RNAcentral.